GACGAACGCUGGCGGCGUGCCUAAUACAUGCAAGUCGAACGCAGUGGGGACGGGUGAGUAACACGUGGGUAACCUCCCAUCAGAGGGGAUAACACUUGGAAACAGGUGCUAAACCUAUACUGAUGGAUGGACCCGCGGUGCAUUAGCUCGUUGGUGAGGUAACGGCUCAACAAGGCCACGAUGCAUAGCCGACCUGAGAGGGGGAUCGGCCACUCUGGGCCUGAGACACGGCCCAGACUCCUACGGGAGGCAGCAGUGGGGAAUCUUCGGCAAUGGACGAAAGCCUGUCCGAGCCACGCCGCGUGAGUGAAGAAGGUUUUCGGAUCGUAAACCUUGUUUGUUAGAGAAGCGGUAUCUAACCAGAAAGCCACGGCUAACUACGUGCCAGCCGCCGCGGUAAUAC
This 403-nucleotide ribosomal RNA is filed under the name uncultured bacterium. Its description in RNAcentral is "partial 16S ribosomal RNA". It matches the Rfam family "Bacterial small subunit ribosomal RNA", at positions 28 to 526 of the family's 1533-position model. The record is from RNAcentral.